Molecule: long non-coding RNA, 199 nt
Organism: Xenia sp. Carnegie-2017
Lineage: Eukaryota; Metazoa; Cnidaria; Anthozoa; Malacalcyonacea; Xeniidae
Exons: 3
Source: RefSeq, a predicted model, not a curated record
CUCAAAAUAUAUCAAAACAUUUAAGCUUGAAAUAAUGACGAACAUCGCUUCGGAAAGUAAUAUAACGUUGCUAUUGCGGGAAUUUCAGAAUUACAUCAACAAUUCGGACAAAGAGUUCGUUGCGUCGACGAUACAAGCCAUUGGCCGUUGUGCAUCGAACAUUCCCGAAGUUACAGAUACCUGUUUAACCGGUCUAGUU